GAUGAACGCUGGCGGCGUGCCUAAUACAUGCAAGUCGAGCGAACGGACGAGAAGCUUGCUUUUCUGAUGUUAGCGGCGGACGGGUGAGUAACACGUGGAUAACCUACCUAUAAGACUGGGAUAACUUCGGGAAACCGGAGCUAAUACCGGAUAAUAUUUUGAACCGCAUGGUUCAAAAGUGAAAGACGGUCUUGCUGUCACUUAUAGAUGGAUCCGCGCUGCAUUAGCUAGUUGGUAAGGUAACGGCUUACCAAGGCAACGAUGCAUAGCCGACCUGAGAGGGUGACCGCCCACACGGAAACUGAGACACGGCCCAGACUCCGACGGGAGGCAGCAGUGGGGAACUUUGCACAAUGGGCGAAAGCCGGAGACAGCAACACCGCGUGAGUGAAGAUGGUCUUCGGAUUGUAAAACUCUUUUAUUGGGAAAGAAAAUAUGUAGAAUAACAUCCCCCUGUCUUGACGGUACCUAAAAAAAAAGCCCCGGCUAACUUCGUG
This 497-nucleotide ribosomal RNA is filed under the name uncultured bacterium. RNAcentral's name for it is "partial 16S ribosomal RNA". It matches the Rfam family "Bacterial small subunit ribosomal RNA", at positions 28 to 507 of the family's 1533-position model. The record is from RNAcentral.